Long non-coding RNA from Aethalodelphis obliquidens (Pacific white-sided dolphin), 833 nucleotides. RefSeq lists it as uncharacterized. The record is from RefSeq and is a predicted model, not a curated record. NCBI's taxonomy places the organism in Eukaryota, Metazoa, Chordata, Mammalia, Artiodactyla, Delphinidae. The transcript has 2 exons.
GUAGACCUCCAGGCCUGGGCAAAGGGCCACGGGGGAGGGUCGGUGUCCACGACUUAGUGGGCUUCGAGUCCCCCAAUGCCCAGGGCUCUGCCCUCCUGCCAGAUUCUCACCAGAAGUGGAGACGUUGGCCGUGUUGCUGGGAUCACUGACAUAGCUACCGGCGAAGGCCACAAGGCGGAACUCGUAGAGAACGUCCUGGGGGUUGGGGUCCAGGAAGGGGGUUAGGGCUCAGCACUGCCCACCCCCAACCCCGUUCGGAAAGACUUUGCAGUUGGAAGGUACGGGUGAAGUGGACAGCCGGAGGGGCCACUACCAAUGGGGGUGAAGACUGGGACUGCAGACUCCAGGAGAGCCACUCACGGGGAAUCCAGUGUGCACGGCACACCCUGGGGUUGAGCUUGAAAGGUGUGGGUCUCCCAGCCUGCUGUCUUCCCAGCACUCCGAGAUUACAUUCUGCAUCUUCCACCCCAAAUCGGUUCUUCUUCCUGGCUUCCCUAGUUCUGUGUUAAAGGCUAACAUCCGACUCCUCACUCUGUCUCACGCCCCACGUCUGUCCUCCUGGGAAGGCCUUUUGUCCCAUCUAUCUUCAUGUCCUCCUUUCUAGCUCAGGCCUCGUAACCUCUCACCCACACUCUCAUUUCAAUAGCCUCUGUACCCCCUCUGUCUGUCCAGUCUCUUCCUCUCCAUUCCUAUCACACCGUUGCCCAAGCAACUUCACUGCCUCCGAAUGCCUUUGGACUUUUUUUUUAAACCUUAGACAAAAAUUUAUUGAGCACCACUACAGUUGCAGUAGCCCUGGGGAGACUAGGAUUAAAAGAUGAAAUACCAGCCCA